GACGAACGCUGGCGGCGUGCUUAACACAUGCAAGUCGAACGAAGUGGCGAACGGGUGAGUAACGCGUGGGUAACCUACCCAUCAGGGGGGGAUAACACUUGGAAACAGGUGCUAAUACCGCAUAUUGAUGGAUGGACCCGCGGUGCAUUAGCUAGUUGGUGAGGUAACGGCUCACCAAGGCCACGAUGCAUAGCCGACCUGAGAGGAUGAACGGCCACAGUGGGACUGAUACACGGCCCAGACUCCUACGGGAGGCAGCAGUGGGGAAUCUUCCGCAAUGGACGAAAGUCUGACGGAGCAACGCCGCGUGAGUGAUGACGGCCUUCGGGUUGUAAAGCUCUGUUAAUCGGGACGCGGUACCGGAAUAGAAAGCAACGGCUAACUACGUGCCAGCAGCCGCGGUAAUAC
RNAcentral lists this ribosomal RNA (408 nucleotides) under uncultured bacterium. RNAcentral's name for it is "partial 16S ribosomal RNA". It matches the Rfam family "Bacterial small subunit ribosomal RNA", at positions 28 to 526 of the family's 1533-position model. The record is from RNAcentral.